GUCAGCGGCGGACGGGUGAGUAACACGUGGGCAACCUGCCUGUAAGACUGGGAUAACUCCGGGAAACCGGGGCUAAUACCGGAUAAUUCUUUCCCUCACAUGAGGGAAAGCUGAAAGAUGGUUUCGGCUAUCACUUACAGAUGGGCCCGCGGCGCAUUAGCUAGUUGGUGAGGUAACGGCUCACCAAGGCAACGAUGCGUAGCCGACCUGAGAGGGUGAUCGGCCACACUGGGACUGAGACACGGCCCAGACUCCUACGGGAGGCAGCAGUAGGGAAUCUUCCGCAAUGGACGAAAGUCUGACGGAGCAACGCCGCGUGAGUGAUGAAGGUUUUCGGAUCGUAAAACUCUGUUGUUAGGGAAGAACAAGUACCGGAGUAACUGCCGGUACCUUGACGGUACCUAACCAGAAAGCCACGGCUAACUACGUGCCAGCAGCCGCGGUAAUACGUAGGUGGCAAGCGUUAUCCGGAAUUAUUGGGCG
Molecule: ribosomal RNA, 483 nt
Filed under: uncultured Bacillus sp.
Lineage: Bacteria; Bacillati; Bacillota; Bacilli; Caryophanales; Bacillaceae
Description: bacterial SSU rRNA
Rfam family: Bacterial small subunit ribosomal RNA
Source: RNAcentral